Molecule: transfer RNA, 73 nt
Filed under: Pelistega indica
Lineage: Bacteria; Pseudomonadati; Pseudomonadota; Betaproteobacteria; Burkholderiales; Alcaligenaceae
Rfam family: tRNA
About the family: Transfer RNA (tRNA) molecules are approximately 80 nucleotides in length.
Source: Rfam by way of RNAcentral
CUCCCUGUAGUUCAACUGGAUAGAACAAGUUCCUCCUAAGAAUUAGACGUCGGUUCAAGUCCGGCCGGGGAGG